CAAGUCGAACGAGUCCAGACCUUCGGGUCUGAGGCGAGUGGCGGACGGGUGAGUAACACGUGAGCAAUCUGUCCCUGUGUGGGGGACAACCCGGGGAAACCCGGGCUAAUACCGCAUAGGCAGGACUUCCGAAAGGAGGACCUGGGAAAGAGGCCCUCUUUACAAUGGUCUCAUGCAGGGAGGAGCUCGCGGGCUAUCAGCUAGUUGGUAGUGGUAACGGCCUACCAAGGCGACGACGGCUACGGGGUCUGAGAGGACGACCCCGCACAUUGGAACUGAGACACGGUCCAGACUCCUACGGGAGGCAGCAGUGGGGAAUUUUGGGCAAUGGCCGCAAGGCUGACCCAGCGACGCCGCGUGUGGGAUGACGCCUCUCGGGGUGUAAACCACUGUCAGAGGGGAAGAAUGACGCCUGUGUAAAUAAUGCAGGCGUGUGACGGUACCCUCAAAGGAAGCACCGGCUAACUCCGUGCCAGCAGCCGCGGUAAUACGGAGGGUGCAAGCGUUGUUCGGAUUUACUGGGCGUAAAGCGCGCGCAGGUGGAUGAACAAGUCGGAAGUGAAAUCUUGAGGCUCAACCUCGAGGCUGCUCCCGAAACUGUUCGUCUAGGGACUGGUAGAGGCUGGUAGAAUUCCCGGUGUAGCGGUGGAAUGCGUAGAGAUCGGGAAGAAUACCCGUGGCGAAGGCGGCCAGCUGGGCCAGGUCCGACACUGAGGCGCGAAAGCGUGGGGAGCAAACAGGAUUAGAUACCCUGGUAGUCCACGCCGUAAACGAUGGGCACUAGGCGCUGGUGGGAGCGACCCCUUCAGUGCCGUAGCUAACGCGAUAAGUGCCCCGCCUGGGGAGUACGGCCGCAAGGCUGAAACUCAAAGGAAUUGACGGGGGCCCGCACAAGCGGUGGAGCAUGUGGUUUAUUCGAAGCACGC
Molecule: ribosomal RNA, 926 nt
Filed under: uncultured Gemmatimonadota bacterium
Lineage: Bacteria; Pseudomonadati; Gemmatimonadota
Description: bacterial SSU rRNA
Rfam family: Bacterial small subunit ribosomal RNA
Source: RNAcentral